Molecule: ribosomal RNA, 441 nt
Filed under: uncultured bacterium
Lineage: Bacteria
Description: partial 16S ribosomal RNA
Rfam family: Bacterial small subunit ribosomal RNA
Source: RNAcentral
CCUACGGGUGGCAGCAGUGGGGAAUAUUGGACAAUGGGGGAAACCCUGAUCCAGCGACGCCGCGUGAGUGAAGAAGUAUUUCGGUACGUAAAGCUCUAUCAGCAGGAAAGAAAAUGACGGUACCUGACUAAGAAGCCCCGGCUAACUACGUGCCAGCAGCCGCGGUAAUACGUAGGGGGCAAGCGUUGUUCGGAAUGACUGGGCGUAAAGGGUGUGUAGGUGGUUUGAUAAGUUAGAUGUGUAAUACCCAGGGCUUAACUCGGGUGCUGCAUCUAAAACUGUUAGACUUGAGUACUGGAGAGGAUAGUGGAAUUCCUAGUGUAGCGGUGGAAUGCGUAGAUGUUAGGAGGAACAUCAGUGGCGAAGGCGACUAUCUGGACAGCAACUGACACUGAGGCACGAAAGCGUGGGGAGCAAACAGGAUUAGAUACCCUUGUAGUC